ACUGACCUUGUUGAAUGUUGUCUCUUUUCAGUCUAUGCCAUUCGUGAAGCUGCCACCAACAAUCUGACCAAACUGGUGGAGAAGUUUGGAGCUGAGUGGGCUCAGAACACCAUCGUGCCCAAAGUUCUGGGCAUGGCCAAUGACCCCAAUUACCUCCACAGGAUGACCACUCUUUUCUGCAUCAAUGCUCUGUCACAGGCCUGUGGACAGGAUAUCACCACUAAGCAGAUGCUGCCAGUGGUCCUUAAGAUGUCCAAUGACCA
This is a long non-coding RNA of Cynoglossus semilaevis (tongue sole), 263 nucleotides long. RefSeq lists it as uncharacterized. The transcript is spliced from 2 exons. The record is from RefSeq and is a predicted model, not a curated record. NCBI's taxonomy places the organism in Eukaryota, Metazoa, Chordata, Actinopteri, Pleuronectiformes, Cynoglossidae.